RNAcentral lists this ribosomal RNA (483 nucleotides) under uncultured bacterium. RNAcentral's name for it is "partial 16S ribosomal RNA". It matches the Rfam family "Bacterial small subunit ribosomal RNA", at positions 28 to 507 of the family's 1533-position model. The record is from RNAcentral.
GACGAACGCUGGCGGCGUGCUUAACACAUGCAAGUCGAACGCUGAAGCUCAGCUUUUGUUGGGUGGAUGAGUGGCGAACGGGUGAGUAACACGUGAGUAACCUGCCCCCUUCUUUGGGAUAACGCCCGGAAACGGGUGCUAAUACUGGAUAUUCACUGGUCUUCGCAUGGGGGUUGGUGGAAAGGGUUUUUCUGGUGGGGGAUGGGCUCGCGGCCUAUCAGCUUGUUGGUGGGGUGAUGGCCUACCAAGGCUUUGACGGGUAGCCGGCCUGAGAGGGUGACCGGUAACAUUGGGACUGAGAUACGGCCCAGACUCCGACGGGAGGCAGCAGUGGGGAAUAUUGCACAAUGGGCGCAAGCCUGAUGCAGCGACGCCGCGGGAGGGAUGGAGGCCUUCGGGUUGUGAACCUCUUUCGCUAAUGGUCAAGCCGCAACAAUGGUUGUGGUGAGGGUAGUGGGUAAAGAAGCGCCGGCUAACUACGUG